AUGCUCAAAAUUGAUUUAGCUAAAGCUUUUGACAGAAUUGAGUGGAAUUUCAUAGCUUGAGCUCUUUCAUGUAAAGGUCUUCAUGCCCAUUUUAUAAAUCUUGUGCAUGCUUGCAUAUCUUCGCCCACUUUCUCGGUUAUCAUUAAUGGUCAGUCUUUUGCUCGCUUUAAAAGUAGCGGAGGCAUUAGACAAGGCUUCCCCCUGUCCCCAUCACUUUUUGUCCUUGCAGUGAAUGAACUCUCUUUGGCGCUACAGGAUGCACUUCAAGACAAUCACUCAGGUAUCUCCCUUGGACCAAACUGUCCUCCUAUACAUUUAAUGUUCGCAGAUGAUCUGCCUGUAUGUGGCAAAGCUACCAUGCAGUAAGCAACUUACAUAUCCUACAUUUCUAAUCAAUUUUGCCAUAAUUCAGGACAUCUUUCGAACUGGUCCAAAUCCGGUAUGAUGUUUAGUAAAAAGGUUAGUUUGUAG
This 471-nucleotide ribosomal RNA is filed under the name Triticum aestivum (bread wheat). Its description in RNAcentral is "partial small subunit ribosomal RNA". The record is from RNAcentral. Lineage: Eukaryota; Viridiplantae; Streptophyta; Magnoliopsida; Poales; Poaceae.